UACGUAGGGGGCUAGCGUUGUCCGGAAUCAUUGGGCGUAAAGAGCGUGUAGGCGGUCCGGUAAGUCCGCUGUGAAAGUCGGGGGCUCAACCCUCGAAUGCCGGUGGAUACUGUCGGGCUAGAGUGCGGAAGAGGCGAGUGGAAUUCCUGGUGUAGCGGUGAAAUGCGCAGAUAUCAGGAGGAACACCGAUUGCGAAGGCAGCUCGCUGGGACGUAACUGACGCUGAGACGCGAAAGCGUGGGGAGCAAACAGG
RNAcentral lists this ribosomal RNA (253 nucleotides) under uncultured bacterium. RNAcentral describes it as "partial 16S ribosomal RNA". It matches the Rfam family "Bacterial small subunit ribosomal RNA", at positions 524 to 776 of the family's 1533-position model. The record is from RNAcentral.